Molecule: ribosomal RNA, 497 nt
Filed under: uncultured bacterium
Lineage: Bacteria
Description: partial 16S ribosomal RNA
Rfam family: Bacterial small subunit ribosomal RNA
Source: RNAcentral
GAUGAGCGCUGGCGGCGUGCCUAAUACAUGCAAGUCGAGCGAACGGACGAGAAGCUUGCUUCUCUGAUGUUAGCGGCGGACGGGUGAGUAACACGUGGAUAACCUACCUAUAAGACUGGGAUAACUUCGGGAAACCGUAGCUAAUACCGGAUAAUAUUUUGAACCGCAGGGUUCAAAAGUGAAAGACGGUCUUGCUGUCACUUAUAGAUGGAUCCGCGCUGCAUUAGCUAGUUGGUAAGGUAACGGCUUACCAAGGCAACGAUGCAUAGCCGACCUGAGAGGGUGAUCGGCCACACUGGAACUGAGACACGGUCCAGACUCCUACGGGAGGCAGCAGUAGGGAAUCUUCCGCAAUGGGCGAAAGCCUGACGGAGCAACGCCGCGUGAGUGAUGAAGGUCUUCGGAUCGUAAAACUCUGUUAUUAGGGAAGAACAUAUGUGUAAGUAACUGUGCACAUCUUGACGGUACCUAAUCAGAAAGCCACGGCUAACUACGUG